CAGGAUGAACGCKGGCGGCGUGCCUAAUACAUGCAAGUCGAGCGAACAGACGAGGAGCUUGCUCCUCUGACGUUAGCGGCGGACGGGUGAGUAACACGUGGAUAACCUACCUAUAAGACUGGGAUAACUUCGGGAAACCGGAGCUAAUACCGGAUAAUAUAUUGAACCGCAUGGUUCAAUAGUGAAAGACGGUUUUGCUGUCACUUAUAGAUGGAUCCGCGCCGCAUUAGCUAGUUGGUAAGGUAACGGCUUACCAAGGCAACGAUGCGUAGCCGACCUGAGAGGGUGAUCGGCCACACUGGAACUGAGACACGGUCCAGACUCCUACGGGAGGCAGCAGUAGGGAAUCUUCCGCAAUGGGCGAAAGCCUGACGGAGCAACGCCGCGUGAGUGAUGAAGGUCUUCGGAUCGUAAAACUCUGUUAUUAGGGAAGAACAAAUGUGUAAGUAACUAUGCACGUCUUGACGGUACCUAAUCAGAAAGCCACGGCUAACUACGUGCCAGCAGCCGCGGUAAUACGUAGGUGGCAAGCGUUAUCCGGAAUUAUUGGGCGUAAAGCGCGCGUAGGCGGUUUUUUAAGUCUGAUGUGAAAGCCCACGGCUCAACCGUGGAGGGUCAUUGGAAACUGGAAAACUUGAGUGCAGAAGAGGAAAGUGGAAUUCCAUGUGUAGCGGUGAAAUGCGCAGAGAUAUGGAGGAACACCAGUGGCGAAGGCGACUUUCUGGUCUGUAACUGACGCUGAUGUGCGAAAGCGUGGGGAUCAAACAGGAUUAGAUACCCUGGUAGUCCACGCCGUAAACGAUGAGUGCUAAGUGUUAGGGGGUUUCCGCCCCUUAGUGCUGCA
RNAcentral lists this ribosomal RNA (844 nucleotides) under Staphylococcus sp. AKB-2008-SL5. RNAcentral describes it as "bacterial SSU rRNA". It matches the Rfam family "Bacterial small subunit ribosomal RNA", at positions 25 to 850 of the family's 1533-position model. The record is from RNAcentral. Lineage: Bacteria; Bacillati; Bacillota; Bacilli; Caryophanales; Staphylococcaceae.